AGUCGAGCGCGAACCCGCAAGGGGGAGAGCGGCAAACGGGGUAGGAUAGAGUCGGUAACGUACCCUUAGGACGGGGAUAGCUACGGGAAACUGUAGGUAAUACCCGAUAAUCUCUUCGAAGGUAAGGCUUUGGGGAGCAAAGGUGAGAUUCCACCUGAGGAGCGGCUGACUUAGUAUUAGCUAGUUGGUGAGGUAAUGGCUCACCAAGGCAAUGAUGCUUAGGGGGUGUGAGAGCACGACCCCCACCACUGGGACUGAGAUACUGCCCAGACACCUACGGGUGGCUGCAGUCGAGAAUCUUCGGCAAUGGGCGAAAGCCUGACCGAGCGACGCCGCGUGUGGGAUGAAGGCCCUUGGGUUGUAAACCACUGUCAGAGGGGAUGAAAUGCGGAAGGGUUCUCCCUUUCGUUUGACAUAGCCUCAGAGGAAGCACGGGCUAAGUUCGUGCCAGCAGCCGCGGUAAUACGAACUGUGCAAACGUUAUUCGGAAUCACUGGGCUUAAAGGGUGCGUAGGCGGCGUGUUAAGUAGGGUGUGAAAUCCCUCGGCUCAACCGAGGAACUGUGCCCUAAACUGGCAUGCUUGAGUGAGAUAGGGGUGUGUGGAACUUCCAGUGGAGCGGUGAAAUGUGUUGAUAUUGGAAGGAACGCCGGUGGCGAAAGCGACACACUGG
This 672-nucleotide ribosomal RNA is filed under the name uncultured Planctomyces sp. Its description in RNAcentral is "bacterial SSU rRNA". It matches the Rfam family "Bacterial small subunit ribosomal RNA", at positions 60 to 732 of the family's 1533-position model. Lineage: Bacteria; Pseudomonadati; Planctomycetota; Planctomycetia; Planctomycetales; Planctomycetaceae. The record is from RNAcentral.